GGAAUUUUGGACAAUGGGCGAAAGCCUGAUCCAGCCAUUCCGCGUGCAGGAUGAAGGCCCUCGGGUUGUAAACUGCUUUUGUACAGAACGAAAAGGUUUCUAUUAAUACUAGAAGCUCAUGACGGUACUGUAAGAAUAAGCACCGGCUAACUACGUGCCAGCAGCCGCGGUAAUACGUAGGGUGCAAGCGUUAAUCGGAAUUACUGGGCGUAAAGCGUGCGCAGGCGGUUAUAUAAGUCAGAUGUGAAAUCCCCGGGCUCAACCUGGGAACUGCAUUUGAGACUGUAUAGCUAGAGUACGGUAGAGGGGGAUGGAAUUCCGCGUGUAGCAGUGAAAUGCGUAGAUAUGCGGAGGAACACCGAUGGCGAAGGCAAUCCCCUGGACCUGUACUGACGCUCAUGCACGAAAGCGUGGGGAGCAAACAGGAUUAGAUACCCUGGUAGUCCACGCCCUAAACGAUGUCAACUGGUUGUUGGGUCUUAACUGACUCAGUAACGAAGCUAACGCGUGAAGUUGACCGCCUGGGGAGUACGGCCGCAAGGUUGAAACUCAAAUGAAUUGACGG
Molecule: ribosomal RNA, 565 nt
Filed under: uncultured bacterium
Lineage: Bacteria
Description: bacterial SSU rRNA
Rfam family: Bacterial small subunit ribosomal RNA
Source: RNAcentral